RNAcentral lists this unclassified non-coding RNA (335 nucleotides) under soil metagenome. Its description in RNAcentral is "partial contains 5.8S ribosomal RNA, internal transcribed spacer 2, and large subunit ribosomal RNA". The stretch from base 1 to 120 matches the Rfam family "5.8S ribosomal RNA", at positions 35 to 154 of the family's 154-position model. The record is from RNAcentral.
GAUGAAGAACGUAGCGAAAUGCGAUAAGUAAUGUGAAUUGCAGAAUCCAGUGAAUCAUCGAAUCUUUGAACGCACAUUGCGCCCGCCAGCAUUCUGGCGGGCAUGCCUGUUCGAGCGUCAUUUCAACCAUCAAGCCCUGUGCUUGUGUUGGAGCCCUGCGGCUGCCGCAGGCUCCCAAACCCAGUGGCGGGCUCGUCGUCGUACCGAGUGCAGUAAACAUACCACGCUCAGGGCACGCGACGGGUGACCGGCCGUAAAACCCCCCCCCUUCUCAAGGUUGACCUCGGAUCAGGUAGGAAUACCCGCUGAACUUAAGCAUAUCAAUAAGCGGAGGA